RNAcentral lists this transfer-messenger RNA (362 nucleotides) under Sulfuriflexus sp. It matches the Rfam family "transfer-messenger RNA". Rfam says of the family: Bacterial tmRNA, also known as 10Sa RNA or SsrA, is named for its dual tRNA and mRNA-like properties. Its role is to liberate the mRNA from a stalled ribosome. Lineage: Bacteria; Pseudomonadati; Pseudomonadota; Gammaproteobacteria; Chromatiales; Granulosicoccaceae. The record is from RNAcentral.
GGGGGCGACCUGGCUUCGACGCCGAUUGCGAAACCCGAGGUGCAUGCCGAGGUGCAGAUUUCCUCGUAAAACCAGCUGCAAAACCUAUAGUUGCCAACGACGACAACUACGCACUAGCAGCUUAAACUCCUGCGAAUGCCCUCGGCCUGAUGUGUGCUUAUGCGCUCAGUAAACCGGGGUCGACUCACAUAAGAUCGCGCUGAAACCUGUCCGGAGUGGAUGCGUUAAAACCUAACGGAAUCGCUAUUAGUGCGCCCUGCCCAUCGGGUUGCUGGUAGUUAAACUUAAUAGAUGUGGAUAAGCAUGUAGAGCCAAAGGCAGAGGAUUGACGGACGCGGGUUCGAUUCCCGCCGCCUCCACCA